Molecule: ribosomal RNA, 465 nt
Filed under: Vreelandella stevensii
Lineage: Bacteria; Pseudomonadati; Pseudomonadota; Gammaproteobacteria; Oceanospirillales; Halomonadaceae
Description: partial 16S ribosomal RNA
Rfam family: Bacterial small subunit ribosomal RNA
Source: RNAcentral
CCUACGGGCGGCUGCAGUGGGGAAUAUUGGACAAUGGGGGCAACCCUGAUCCAGCCAUGCCGCGUGUGGGAAGAAGGCCCUCGGGUUGUAAAGCACUUUCAGUGAGGAAGAACGCCUGGUGGUUAAUACCCAUCAGGAAAGACAUCACUCACAGAAGAAGCACCGGCUAACUCCGUGCCAGCAGCCGCGGUAAUACGGAGGGUGCGAGCGUUAAUCGGAAUUACUGGGCGUAAAGCGCGCGUAGGUGGCUUGAUAAGCCGGUUGUGAAAGCCCCGGGCUCAACCUGGGAACGGCAUCCGGAACUGUCAAGCUAGAGUGCAGGAGAGGAAGGUAGAAUUCCCGGUGUAGCGGUGAAAUGCGUAGAGAUCGGGAGGAAUACCAGUGGCGAAGGCGGCCUUCUGGACUGACACUGACACUGAGGUGCGAAAGCGUGGGUAGCAAACAGGAUUAGAUACCCCAGUAGUC